RNAcentral lists this ribosomal RNA (264 nucleotides) under uncultured archaeon. RNAcentral's name for it is "partial 16S ribosomal RNA". It matches the Rfam family "Archaeal small subunit ribosomal RNA", at positions 719 to 982 of the family's 1478-position model. The record is from RNAcentral.
ACACGACUACAUUAGAUACCCGUGUAGUCCUAGCCGUAAACGAUACUCGCUAGGUGUCGGCCACGGUGCGACCGUUGUCGGUGCCGUAGGGAAGCCGUGAAGCGAGCCACCUGGGAAGUACGGCCGCAAGGCUGAAACUUAAGGAACUUGGCGGGGAGCACAACAACGGGUGGAGCUUGCGGUUUAAUUGGAUUCAACGCCGGAAAUCUUACCGGGACCGACAGCAACAUGAAGGCCAAGCUGAAGACUUUGCCGGAUUAGCUG